UCUGGAAACUGUNUGACUUGAGUGCAGAAGGGGAGAGUGGAAUNCCAUGUGUAGCGGUGAAAUGCGUAGAUAUAUGGAGGANCACCAGUGGCGAAAGCGGCUCUCUGGUCUGUCACUGACGCUGAGGCUNGAAAGCGUGGGUAGCGAACAGGAUUAGAUACCCUGGUAGUCCACGCCGUAAACGAUGAGUGCUAGGUGUUAGGCCCUUUCCGGGGCUUAGUGCCGGAGCUAACGCAAUAAGCACUCCGCCUGGGGAGUACGACCGCAAGGUUGAAACUCAAAGGAAUUGACGGGGGCCCGCACAAGCGGUGGAGCAUGCGGUUUAAUUCGAAGCAACGCGAAGAACCUUACCAGGUCUUGACAUCCCGAUGCUAUUCUUAGAGAUAGGAAGUUACUUCGGUACAUCGGAGACAGGUGGUGCAUGGUUGUCGUCAGCUCGUGUCGUGAGAUGUUGGGUUAAGUCCCGCAACGAGCGCAACCCUUAUUGUUAGUUGCCAUCAUUAAGUUGGGCACUCUAGCGAGACUGCCGGUAAUAAACCGGAGGAAGGUGGGGAUGACGUCAAAUCAUCAUGCCCCUUAUGACCUGGGCUACACACGUGCUACAAUGGUCGGUACAACGAGUUGCGAGCCGGUGACGGCAAGCUAAUCUCUGAAAGCCGAUCUCAGUUCGGAUUGGAGGCUGCAACUCGCCUCCAUGAAGUCGGAAUCGCUAGUAAUCGCGGAUCAGCACGCCGCGGUGAAUACGUUCCCGGGCCUUGUACACACCGCCCGUCACACCACGAGAGUUUGUAACACCCGAAGUCGGUGAGGUAACCUUUUAGGGGCCAGCCGCC
RNAcentral lists this ribosomal RNA (833 nucleotides) under uncultured bacterium. RNAcentral's name for it is "bacterial SSU rRNA". It matches the Rfam family "Bacterial small subunit ribosomal RNA", at positions 625 to 1457 of the family's 1533-position model. The record is from RNAcentral.